AUAAUUUCACAUGUAUUCAGCCAAACGUUUCUUAGUAAGACUCUAGCUUAUUAUGAUCUUACAUCAAAAAUAUAAUAAUAAACAAAAAUUUAUAUUAUCAAAAUUUCAAUAUAGAAUAUUCGAAUAUGAUAAAAUAAGCUUAAAAUACCAAUAAUAUUCUGUAUCAUAACAAAAUUACACUAAAAAUAAUAGAAUUUAAUUGAU
RNAcentral lists this long non-coding RNA (204 nucleotides) under Lathyrus oleraceus (garden pea). RNAcentral's name for it is "Pisum sativum (pea) long non-coding RNA (PSAT_LNC032399)". Lineage: Eukaryota; Viridiplantae; Streptophyta; Magnoliopsida; Fabales; Fabaceae. The record is from RNAcentral.